UAAAUUUCAGAUUUUUUUGACAUCAUUUGACUAGUGAUCAAAAGAUCUCAAAAUUGAUAAUUUUAAUGGCCGAUGUGGUGUGUUUGAGAGUUUAACGGUGUAAAACAAUCCAAAUCCGAUGAAAAUUUUAUAGAAAAUUCUUUUAACUAUUUAGAGUAAGAUCAAUAUAUCUGAUCUUGAAUUUAAAUCUUUUAUCAUCAUUUUUUAUGAGAUUUUUAUUUUCAGCCGUUCAAUUUUAGACUACUUGUUUGAUAGGUAAAUGGUAUAAAAAAAUUAUGAAAUUUAGUUUCUAAAUACUUUUAAUAGUGUAGAUCAAGUCUAAUGGAGCCGAUCGUCAAUUCGAAAGUCCGAACAUCGAAAACAACUUGGUAGCACGGAGCGCUCCGUGCUACCGAUAGUAUAGUAGCCUAGUUAGUUCUAUAUAUAGAGAGAGAGAGAGAGAGAGAGAGUUAAGCUAGAAUACUUCCAAAAGCAAAGGUGGUGUUUUUGAGUUUUUAGCCUUUGGAUGAAGAAAUGUGGGGUUGGGAUGAUGGUGGUAGGUGGUGGUAGGCGGUAGUAGGUGGAAUAGUGUUUAAUCCAAAGGCUAUUAAUAAUCAAGGAGUAGAUCCAAGGGCUAAAAACUUAGAAGCACCAAGGAGGUGGUGCUUCUAAAAAGUAUUCUAACUCAACUCUAUACAUAUAUGUAUGUGUAUAUUAUAUAUAUACAUACAUACAUAUAUAUAUACAUACAUACAUAUAUGUAUAUAUAUGUAUGUAUAUAUAUAUAUAUAUAUAUAUAUAUAUAUAUAUAUAUAUAUAUAUACAUACAUAUAUAUAUACAUACAUACAUAUAUACAUACAUACAUAUAUACAUACAUACAUAUGUAUACAUAUACAUACAUAUAUGUAUAUGUAUACAUAUAUAUAUAUACAUAUAUAUAUAUACAUAUAUAUAUAUACAUAUAUAUAUAUAUAAAUAUGUAUACAUACAUAUAUAUACAUAUAUAUAUAUAUAUGUAUACAUAUAUAUAUAUAUAUACAUAUAUAUAUAUAUACAUACAGAGCUAGGCUGGUAUACUAUCGGUAGCACGCUACCGAGUUGUUUUCAAUGAUGCUGCUUCCAAAUCGACGAUCGGCUCCGUUAGACUUGAUCUACACUAUUAAAAAUAUUUGGAAACUAAAUUUCAUAAUUUUUCGACAUCAUUUGGCUAGUGAUCAAAAGGUCUCAAAAUUGACAAUUUUAAUGGUAGAUGUGAUGCAUUUGUAAAUUUAACGGUGUAAAACAAUCCAAAUCAGAUGAAAUUUUUAUAAAAUUUUUUUUUUACUAUUUAGAGUAAGAUUAGUACAUCUGAUCUUAAAUUCAAGUCUUCUAUUAUCAUUUUUUAUGGGAUUUUUAUUUUUAGUCAUUUAUUUUUAAACUACUCGUUUGAUAGGUAAAUGAUAUUAAAAAAUUAUGAAAUUUAGUUUUCAAAUACUUUUAAUAAUGUAGAUCAAGUAUAACGGAGCCGAUCGUCGAUUUGGAAGCGGCAUCAUUGAAAACAACUUGGUAGUACGGCGGCCUCCGUGCUACCGAUAGUAUACCAACCUAGCUCUCUCUCUCUCUCUCUCUCUCUCUCUCUCUCUCUCUCUCUAUAUAUAUAUAUAUAUAUAUAUAUAUAUAUAUAUAUAUAGAGAGAGAGAGAGAGAGAGAGAGAGAGAGAGAGAGAGAGAGAGCUAGGCUACUAUACUAUCUAUAGUACCGAGCUCCGGUACUAUAAUGUUUGUUUUCGAUCUUAGGGCGUUCAAAUCAACGAUCCACACCGUUAAAACUGAUCUAGGGUAUUUAAAGUUUCUAAAAAUAAAAUUUUAUAUUUUUUCGACAUAGUUUAGUUUAUGAUCAAACUAUUUCAAAAUUGUCAAUUUUUAAUGGCUAUUAUGACGAGUUUGAAGUUUAACGGUGUAGAAGAAUCUAAAUUUCUUCAAAUUUUGAUAGAAAAUACUUUAAACUAUAUAGAUUAAGGUUAACAUUCUUGAUCUUGAAUUUAAAAGUUCUAUACUCAAAUUUUAAAGAUUAUUUAAUUUCCACCGUCCAUUUUGAUAUAAUUUAUUUACUAAGUAAACGAUAUCGAAAAAAACUAAAAUUUUAUUCCUAAGAAAUUCAUAUACCCUAGAUCAUAUUUAACGGUAUGGAUCGUUGAUUUGAACGCCCUAAGAUCAAAAACAAACACUAUAGUACCGGAGCUCGGUACUAUAGAUAGUAUAGUAGCCUAAUUCUAUAUAUAUAUAUAUAUAUAUAUAUAUAUAUAUAUAUAUAUGUGUGUUCUCACAUACCUAUAUCAUCAUAUAAUGGUAGGUAACAUCAUCUAGCAACAUAUGAUUUAGGCAUUCAUAUUUACAAUACAUUAACCUACCAUUAUAUACAUGCAUCAACAAUAAUACCAUCUACGGCAUACAUCUAAAAUGCUGCACGUGUCGAACCCGUUUUUCCAAAAAAUAAAAUUUUGUUGAAAAACACCGAAAGAAUACAAGUACUUAUGUGACGACGACGACGACGACGACGACGACAACAACAAUAAUAAUAAUAAUAAUAUGCUGCACAAGCAUUUAUAUAUGCACCCACAUAGGAUAAGCAACAAAUGCAUGCUACAAAAGAAUAAACAAAAUUAUGUAAAGCACAAAACUUUUUUUUUGUGUAUUCCAAAAAUAUUACAACACAUGAAUAAUAAAGUUUUUUUUACUACACAGGAAAAAAAAUCACCACAAAAAAGGGAUUUUUUUUUUAUAAUGAGCAAAAAUAAAAAAUACUGCCAGAGCACAGGUAGAGCCAAACUGCGGGGUCGCGCCUGCGUGUGCACUUGGCCGGGCCGAGUUCGAAAGAACGCCCGAAGGCUGAGGGGUUGCCCCCCAAGAGCGACAGGCCGGGCCCGGCCUGAAAGCCUGCCUGAACGCUGAGGACCUGUGCCCCCAAGUACGGCAGGCUGGGUCGGGCCCGCAAGCUCACUUGAGCCUUGCGGGGUGCGCCCUUAUGCGCGUAAGGCCAGGCCGGGCUCGCAAGCUUGCCCUAGCCCUGCAGGGCACGUCCCCGCGCGCGUGUCGAGCCAGACCCUAUGGGGUCACUCCCGCGCGCGCGGUGGGUUGGGCCGGGCCCGCCAGACCGCCCGCCGUGCGUGGGUGGCCCGCACGCCUGCAGCCAACUGGGCCCGCAUGCCCGUGCAUGUGGCGGGCUGAUCUGGGUCCGCAAGCCUAUGUGUGUUGUGUGGGUCUUCCCGCGAGCACAGCCCGCAAGCUUGCGCGCACGGCGCACGGGUUCUCUCCGUGCCCCCAGUGGGGCCGGGCCCGCGAGCCUGCAUGUGUGGCUGGCCUAGCCGAGCUACAAGCCCUCUAUCCUGCGCGCGUGGGUCCGUCCCUGCCGCGAGAGAGCGGGUUGGGCCAUGUCGCACAGGCUUGGGCCGGCCUUGCGCUCUUGCAGGGCACGCGAGUCCAUGCCUAUGGACCUGCAAUGGUUGCUUGUUCGCAACCCCUUUUAUUUAAUUUAAAUUGCGCAAAAUAGAAAAGAAAAAAUACAACUUAUGUUUUUAAAAAAUUUCGUAUGUCUCGUAAUCAAUUCAAAAGAAAAAAAUUAAAACUAUUUUAGUUUUUCCUUUUUUUUUGGGAUUUCACAUAGAAAACAAAAAAAAUUUUAGAACAAAUCUACAUAAAAAAAUUUUGAUUAACGAAGCAUGUGAUCUAAACACACACAUCAUAGGCAUGAUCAUAAGGUGAAAACAAGCAAGCAGCUCUGAUACCAAUUGUUGGAAUUAGAAGAUAGCAGAAACUUACAAACUGGAUAGCCAACGUAUCUAGAAAUCGGAAUCGGAUUAGGUUGCUUAUUUUACUAGCCUGUUUGGAUCGUCCUUGUCUCGAUGCUUUUAGAUCUCCCACGUAUCUCGCCUUCUCCCACGCCUACGCCUUGCGUCACAAAUCAGAUGCGACAGACACGGAUUGGAUGCAAGUCGUCGGAUAAGAUGGAUGUAAAUCAAAGAGGGCUGCCAGAGUCCUCUUCUAUAUCCACACUCAAAAGCCCCGGGAACGUAGAUGGAAAUCUCAGAGAGAAAGAAGAGAGAGAAGAAAGAGUAGAUUCUCCUCUAAAAUAUUUUGAAUUUCACAUAGAGAUUAGGAUUAGGAUAUCUAUAAUAGAUAUUCAUUAGGAGAUACGUUUCUUAACUGAUAAGAAAUGUAUAAUUCGUUCUUAUCCUUAAUUGUCACGCUCCGUGACCGCCAAUUUGGUCGGUUCGGGUACGUCCACAGACGCCGAACCAAUAGAACCUCCCCUGUCCGCCCAAAGCUCCACACAACAUCAACAAGUAUAGCAAUUCAUACAAGAGAAUUCGAGUAUAUAUGACUUGCACGAAGGCAACCAACCACAAGCUAGUGAAAGCACUACUACGAUUCCAUUCAUACAUGUAUCUUGAUUGCAGUUAACCAAAUACAAACUAUCCGCAUAUUACAUUCUUUUCUCUUCUUGAUACAUCACAUGUCCCUCAACAAAAGCAUAUGGAUUUACAACCUUUAUACAUGUAAAGUACCGAACUUCUACGAUUUUGAAGUUUCGGUGGGAACUUGCUCGAAAAGCUAUUGGAGCAGUUCCGGUGAAGUUCAGGGGCAUUCGGGUGUUUUCGGUACGCGUCGAGCAUGAAAAUGAAACUCGAAAAGCUAUGAUUGGACUUUGGCCGAAAUCCGGCAAAGCGUAGGUGAAAAGAUGGUUUAAACGCGCUCAAAAAUAUAUUUUGGGGGUCUCGAUACGAUUAGAGACGAAUCGGAGGCCCAACGAGCGAAAACGAAGCAAAACGGAGAAAAUGCUGAAAUUGCUGAAAAUUUGACUAAGUCCUGAAAUUCUGGGCUGGAGGGACUUACGGGGUCCGAACCCUCUAGCCAAGGUCCGGACCCUGAGCUCGAAAAUUGCCCAGUUUAAGUAGGGGCUGUUUGGUAAAUUAUGGGGGAUUGCUUUUAAAAAGGGGCUACACCCCUUCUUCUUCCUCCCUCAGCCCAAAAGCACCACACACACACAAAUGGGUAGUGAGAGAAGCUCAUCUCUCUCUCUAGCUUUCCCACCUUCCCUCUCUAGAUCUCUCUCCCAAAAUUGGAGGCUUGGUGGAGAAGGACCUUGGGAACGCGUUAGGAGCGACGGUUCGAGUCUUCGUGCGCCCGGUGGAGCGGCGUGCUUUCGACUCGGCGUUCGCAUUUUGGUAAGUAUUUAGGAUUUGGUUAAAUCAUUCAUGAAUAGCAUUCUAGAGAUCAUGCAUGUUUCUCCUUUAAUACUUGGGUUAUUUGGGAGAAAUGAGAAGUUAGGGCUUAGAAUGGGGGAUUUUGGGGUUUAUGGGUUUUGAUCUAAUUGAACCUUAUGGUUCUCUAAUUGAAGGUUAGAGAAGAGCCCCAGGUGAUUCUAGGUUGAGGAUCGGCGAGUGUUCAGUGAUCAAUUGCGAGAUCGAGCCAAACCAGAUCACGUGUGCCACGGGAGUCCGAUUGCAAGUGACUACAAGCAAUCGGAAAGCAUUACGAGGUGGGUUGUGCUUCACCGAAGUGAUUAGGUCACUUCCAUGUCAAAGUGAAGUGGUUUGUCAUUGAUGCAUGUAGCGGUAGUUAAUUACAUAUAUGAAUGCAUAGGUAGAUGCCAUGUAAUUGCAUGAGAUGAUAUGCAUAACUACCCUUGGAUGACAAAGAGUUAUGCAUGUUGUCAUAUGAUAGAAUAUGCUAGAUGGUAUAUGAAUGUUGACAUUGUGGAACAUGCUAGAUGAAAUUAUGCAUGUUGGCAAGUUAUAGAAUGUGCUAAAAAGUAUAUGCAUGUGUAAUUGUGACAUUGUGGUAUUAGCUAGAGACAUUGUGACAUUGUGGCAUUAGCUAGAGACAUUGUGACAUUGUGGCAUUAGCCAGAGGCAUUGUGAUUACUCAGUAUAUGAGGAUUGGGAGGUAUUUAUCCCGACUUGAUUACUACUAGUUGGUAGGGUAUCCUCGGGCUAGAGGAUUGGACCAUACUCACAUUCGUCUGUUUUGCUUGGUGGUGGUAGCUCCACCCAAGCUUGGUCUCCGGAGUACUUCAGGUAGGGGCAGACGUAGUUGUCCCGCAGACGGCCCCGGGUGAGAGUAGCGAACGUCUCCUCACGAUGCGGGAUUUGGUUGUGAGUCGGGGCUUAACCUUCGGGUGAGCCGGAAUGAUUGGGUAACAAGCAUAUGAGUGGAAUUGCAUCCCAGUUGAGUGGAUUUAAGGCCGAGGUGCAUGUGAGAUGUCCAUCACCUCGAGCCUGGCUGUACGCAAUAUUCCGCAGAUAAUUGACUUGAGGUCGAGUCUGGUGGUUAGCUUAGCUGAGGUAGAGGAAACCUUAAGAGCAAUUAGCCAAUGAUGUAAAAUGACAAGAUAUAUAAAUUGUGGAAAAGCUAUGGAUAGCGAGAUAGAAAGUAGAAUCAGAUGAUCUACUUAGCUUGUUGCAUUGUUGCAUACAUUACAUAUUGCAUGCCUUGAGGCAUACGCGUGUAUUUAAUACUUGCAUUAAAUAUCUCUGGAUAUCUGUUGGACUAACAUGUUUGCAGUGCCUCCUUUGGACCUUGUGGGUUGAGCUUCUCCUUUGGGUGGUCGUACCUACUGGGAACUAUAUUUAUAUAGUUUUCACCUCACAUUGUUUUGGGGGAUUUCAGGUUCACACGCGAGCUACACGGCGGCGCGAGGACAGGGCGUAGCUCCGUAGAUAGCGCCCUACCAUUGUGACCAGAGAAAACGGUACCCCGAAGUGGUCUAGCUUAGGGGUGGAAAUCAAAGAACAAAAUUGUAAUAAUUUGUAGUAAUGUUGAUUGUAUUUGGAAGUCGAAAUUGGAAUGUAAAAUAAAUGUAUAUGAAUGCUUGUAAUAGCAUAGUUGUAUUUAUGUUUUUGAUACUUCCUUAUGCAAUUCUUGCUUGAAUAGUACUGUUUCUGGUUGGAACCUCGUGUAUUGUAUUGAUUGCGACGCCUUGAACGUACAUGGGAGACUCUAUUCGUUCGGCAGUCUGUUGGCGUGCCCGAAUACGACCAAAGAGGCGGGUCCCGGGCUCUGACAAUACAUAACCAUUUACAUCACCAUUUUUCAUCAUAAACAAAAGAUGAUAAUAAACAGGGUACAAGCUAAACCCGGGAAGCCACUAUCUAGGGCACGAUGCCUUUGCCGCGAUCUUCGAUCGCCCCACUCGCGCUAGGAUCUACAAGGUUAGUGGUGUGAGAACUAGUGAUAGUUCCCAGUGGGUUCGACCGCCGACCCCGCCAACUUGCCCACUAGGUCUACUCAGGCAUAUGUAGAAAAAGAAGAGAUAGAUAGCAAACCAUACUAAUGCUACUACAAUGCCUGUACAAGAACUGAAUCAACAAGAAAUAUGCUCAUGAUGCAUACAUUUCAUUUUUACCUUUGCCAUUACCCAAUUCUCUUGGUUAACUCAUGGUUAACCUCAACUCACCAACCAAAUCCCAUUUUAUCAGGGAGAAUUCCGCUACAACUCGAUGGGACCGUCUACUGGAAAGAUUUCCGCUACAACCUAGUUGGUGACCACUCCGGAGCUCACUGCUUAAGGUGGAGCAACCACCCUCAAGCAUAUAGACCAACUGUGAGUAUAAUCCAUUUCUCAACUUUGAGGAUACCUUGCCACUAUUGCCACAAUGCUCAUAAGGUUCUACCUUGUCUAGCAUACCAUAUUUUCAGAUGCUAAUCAUACCCGCUAGUGUCAAUGUCACCUUUGUUUACUAAUGUCAUAGUCCAACAUCCAAAUUCAUACAUUUGUAGGGUUUCUAUACGUAGGGUCCAUUAUCAGUUCAUAUGUUCUUUUACAUUGAAAGCAUACAAGAGAUUCCCAACCCUAGCCACAUAUCACAAUAACCCUACCAUGCAUGAAUGCCACAAGUACACAUAUAUGCUCAAAAAGACGACAUAGACAUAAUGAGAAAUUCAAUGAUUUCGGAUAGCACCACCCACCUCGUAGUGAUGUCCAAAGACUACAACUCAAGCCUCACGAUUUAUGGUUACCAAUUUUCCUCGACCCACGACAAACGAAGCCAAAAUAGAGUUUUUCCCCAAUAUCUUGACGUAGACUCGUCGGAAUUCCAAUCCGAGUCUCCCAACGCGUCGGUUUAUCCACCAAUUAGGGCUACAAGAGAUCAAACUUAAGUUAGACCUCAAUUCCCCAAAAACCCUAAACUCAACCCUAGGGUUUCUAUCAUUACCAAAUACCCCAAAUUUCUUAGAGAUUCAUGAAUUAAUCUACCAUAACAUCUUCUAGAAACCACAACUAGAAGAGAUUAACCAAAUCCUAGCUCAUAACCACCAAAAAAACUCACCUCAAGUUCUAGCUUUCUCCACAAUCCCUUGCACAAGAGCUAGCUUCACCCCUAAGUAAGCCUUCUUCUCCACCAAGCUCCUCUCUUGGGGCAAACUCUAGUGAGAGAAUGAGAGAAAAGGAGAGAGUGGAGAGUCUUAGAGAGAGAAAGAGAAUUUUCUCUUAGGUCUCAUGUGAGGGAAAAUGAGGUUAAGGGCAUUAGAACCCACAUAUAAACCCUCCCAAUAGACAAUUACACUAAGGCCCCUCACCAAUAUGACAUUUUGGACCAACCCACGUUUUCAUGCGUACGGGGUCCGGACCUUGCACUCAGGGUCCGGACCCCGAGAGCAUUUCCAGCACAAAAAUUAGCUUGGAAUUUUUCAACUUGCUCUCCAAGGUCCCAACCACUCAUUUAAUGUAUUAUGAAGCACUCGGAAUAAUUAACGGACCUCUCCAUCUUGUUCAUCACCACCCUUCGGUCAAUUUGACCGAAGUUCGGUACAACCUAUUGGGGAUUCAGUAUGUUACAUUAACAUAUUAGGAUAAACCCCAAUCCAUAUCUUAUAUGGAUCGGGUUGAAUUACGACCCACCAAUGUGGACACACCACAUGGCAACAAAGCACUUUUUUGUGACGCAGAUAUGUCAGUUAUAAUUUGUUUCAAGUAUAUGUUAUAGUAAAUCGCUAACCAGUUAUCAAGUUUUUAUAUGUUAUUUUUAUAAAAAAUGAAUAGAUAUUUGCCGAUAAGUUUUUAUGAUUUUUACAUGCUUCAAUUAGAUGUUGUACUUUUUUUAAUUUUUGUAUUAUCUUAUGAUAAAGUUUAAUUUAUUCAGAUAAGAGCUGACUAUACCCGAAUUGAGCUAGAAUACUUUUAGAAGCACCAACCCCUUGGUGCUUCUAAAUUUCUAGCCCUUGGAUCCACUCCUUAAUUACUAAUAGCCUUUAGAGUCAAACACUAUUCCAACUACCACCACCUACCAUCAUCAUGUCAACCCUACAUCUCUCAAUCACUACUAGAAAAAUAGUCAUUAGUGGCAUUUAUUUAUGCUGCUAAAUGAUUAACAAAUGCUGCUAAAAGUUUUAGCAGCAUAUGACAUCAAAUACUACCUAUGCCAAUGUUGCUAAAAGUAUUAGCAGCAUUUAUUAUAAAAUGCCGCCAAUGUAAAUUAAUCUGUGUCAUUGGAACAUACCGCUAAAAGGGAUUAAAUGCUAAUUUUAAAUUAUUUAUUAGUGGCACAUAAAUAUAAUGCCGCUAAUACAAAUAUCUGAUAAAUUCAAUUUUUAAUUUUAAUUUUAAUUUUUUUGAAAUGCUACCGACUUUGCUGAAAAUGUGAAUCAACUAGGAUUCGAACUUGAGACCUCGAGUACCAACCACCAAGCCCUUUGCCACUUGCGCUAGCGACUAUUACUUAUGUAUAUUUUAAUUUUUUAAAUUUUAAGUCUUCUAUUUUAAAUUUUUAAAAUUUUAAAUUUUAAAAUUUUAAAUUUAGAUACUAAAUUUUAAGUUUUAACUUUCAAAUAUCAAAUUUUAAGUUUCAAAAUUAAUAGUUUUGAAUUUGAAAAUUUAAAUUUAAAAUGAAUUUAAAAAUUUAAAAUUUUAAAUUUUAAAAUUUUAGAAUUUAAAAUUUUAAAUAUAAAUUUUAAAAUUUUAAAAUUUAAAUUAUACGUUUAAUUUUUAAUAUUAUAUCUUUCGAAUUUUAAACUUUAAUUUUAAAAUUUUUAAUUCUAAAUAAAAAGGGAUAUAUUAAUAAUUAUAUAUUAACUAGUAAUGAUAUUUAGUAAUAAGUGCUGUUAGUUUAUUAUAUUUAGCGGCAUUUACUAAUUUAUGCUGCUAAUUUAUUCUAUUUUGCAGCAUUAAUAGUAAAUUGCUGCUAAAUAAUUAAAUCUUGCGGCAAUUAUCAAGUAAUGCUGCUAAAUAUAUUAAUUGAUUUAAAUAAAUAUUGUGGAGCAAGUAUUGCUGCAUUUAGCAAUAAGUGCUGCUACUUAUUACAUUUAGUGUUAUUUUUUAUAAAUGCUGAAAACUUCAGCGGCAUUCACUAAUUUAUGCUGCUAAUUUAUUCUAUUUUGUAACAUUAAUAGUAAAUUGCUGCUAAAUUAUUAAAUCUAGCGGCACUUAUUAAGUAAUGUUGUUAAAUAUAUUAAUUAACGUUAUUUAAAUAAAUACUGCAGAGUAAAUACCGUUAAAUCAUGAAUUUGUUGUAGUGCAUCCAAGGGCUAAAAACUUAAAAGCACCACCUCCUUGGUGCUUUUUGGAGUAUUCUAGCUCAACUCGACUAUACCCCAUACAAAAUUUUUCACGCUACUGUAUAAUAUAAAUCUACAACAUGCCUAGCUGAUCUUUGGGUGGGACUUGCUAAUUAAAAGAACUAAUAUUUAAUAAAAUUUCCUUCAAAUAUAUGUCACAGUAAAUUAGCAACUAGCUAUUAUAUGAAAUACCAAACUAUAAAUUCUUCUUAAAUAAUGCUGGAAUGUUUGUAACAUAUGUGAAAAUUGAAUUACCAUUACAUGAAGAUAUAGCUGAAAUUAUAAAGACAAAUAGUGGCAUAGAAAGUAAGGAAGAUGCUGCUUAGAUAGCUGUAAAGUGUGUAUAUAUAUAUAUAUAUAUAUAUAUAUAUAUAUAUAUAUAUAUAUAUAUAUAGAGUAGGGCUAGAAUACUUUUACAAGUAUCACCAAGUGAUACUUGUGUGUUUUAGCGCAUUGGAUCUACUUUUGAUUACUAAUAGCCUUUGGAUCAAAUACUAUUCCACCUACACCACCUACCACCACCUACCACCAUCAUCUCAACCUCACAUCUCUCCAUCUAAGGGCUAAAAACACGCAAGUAUCACUUGGUGUGAUACUUUUACAAGUAUUCUAGCUCUACUCUCUCUCUCUCUCUCUCUCUCUAUAUAUAUAUACUAUUAUAUAUAGAGAGAGAGAGAGAGAGAGAGAGAGAGAGAGAGAGAGAGAGAGAGAGACCUGUCCCCUUGGGAGAGACGCGCAGCUACUGGGAGAGCCCUCUGGGACUGGUCCUAAGUCGGGGAGACCGGUCCCCCAACCCGAAAUCUGCCUAGUUUGAGCAGUUCAAUAAAAUAAAAGCUGAGGGGCCUAUUUGCAUUUAUGCAACCCAAUGGUUAAGUUGAGGGCAAUGAGGGUUUUUCCUCUCAUUCUCUCCCUCACACACUCUAUCUCAUCUCUCUUUCUCUCUCUAGAAGACAAGAAGGAGAAGAAAAAGACAAGGAAAAGAAAGAAAAGAAAAAAGGAAAAGAAGAAGAAGAAAAUGAGAAAGAGGGUGAAGAAGAAGCUAAGGAGUGAAUCACCUCCUCUUCUUCCUCUUUGGAGCAACAUAGGAGCAGGCUUAGAGGUAAGUUUGAACCCUAUUCAUGGUAAAACCCUAGAAUGUGAACUAGUUGACCUAAAAAUGGUUUUAGUUGAGCCUAAUAAGUGUUUCAAGCUUUAUUUUGCUUGUUAAUGAGAUCAAAACCAUGGGUUGAGUGUGUGUGAUGAAGCUUAGAGGUGAGCUGCACCCCUCUCAUGGUGAAACCCUAAAAUGGGUUUUGAUUGAGCUAAGAAUGGUUCAAAUGGAACCUUUAGAUGAUUUGAAGCUUGCUUUUGCUUCUCUAAGAGAUCAAAAACCUAGUUUUGUAGUGGGAUGAGUUAGGGCACCCAAAUUUGGGGCUUUUGCUCGGGAGGAUUACAAAGUGUAAUUGACCCUCUAGAAACCUAAUUGGGGGUAUUUUCGACACGUUGGUGCGCUCGGAUUGAUGUUACGAAAAGCCAAUGUAAAGAUAUGAGCAAAAUGGCCUAAUAGGGCUUCGUUUUGCCGCAGGUGACGAACUAGGAGUCUAAAAAUCCCAAGGAAAUCGUUGUAGCAUCCUAGUACGCCUACGAGGUGGGUGGUGUGUCACGCCCCGAAGCCGCUACCAAUUUGGUCCGAUUCGGGCGCGUCGAACAGACGCCGAACGAACAGGACCUCUGCUGUCCGCCCAAGGCUAAGCAACCAGAUCACGUACAAUUAAGCACCCAGGAAUUUGCUUAAACAACAUACAUGAUCAAACACGAUGCACACAAGUGCAAUACAUCUAAGAGCAAGAACCACAAGUAAUAUACAAGUGUAUAAAGAGAGAUAGUCUAACUAUCACGAUCAUUCAACAUUUACAUCAUUUGAAUAUAUUACAUUUUCAUCUUCCAAAAUGUAAAUACAUGUUUGAUCCAAAAUAUAAGUAGCCUUCCCAUAACCAUCCAAAACAUGAUCUAGUACACGAGGGUACUCUAAUGCAUAAAGGAAAAGCUACAAACUAGGCUCACUUAGGGCGCUAUGCCCUUGCCGCGGUCCUCGCUCGGCUCUCCUCUGUGUGUACCUGUACCCCAAAACCACACGGGGUGAGAACUAUAUAAAUAUAGUUCCCAGUGGGUUCGGCCGCCGACGCCGCCGGUUUUCCCACUAGGUCUAAGCUGGCACAGAUAGAGAGAUAGAUAGAUAUACAAAGAUGAACUGCAACUACUCUAUCAUGCCAUCAAUGAUAAUAAUGCAUGCAACAACUACUAUCAUGCUAGUAUCAUGUCAUGAGUAUAUAAAGGUGCAUAGUAAUGUAAACUACAACGUACACUACGUCUACUCAAGGUAAUAAUGCAAGUCUGCUAUGCAUUUCAUGUUGAUUACCCAAUCCACUUGGUUAACACGAAGGUUAAACCCUCGACUCACUCUCAAUCUCAUAGGUGAGGAGAAACUGCACUCGCACACCGAGACCGUCUGCGGGACAACUACGUCUGCCCCUAGUGAAGUACUCCGGAGACUCGUGCCUCGGUGGAGCGACCACCGACAAGCAAAAACAGACUAGUGAGUAUGAUCCAAUCCUCGCAAGAGGAUACCCUGUCUACUAGGGUCAAUGUGCCUUUGCUGCACAAUCAUGAUAUAUAGUCAAUGUUGGGACUUCUACUAUCCCUAAGUUCAUGUCAAGUUUACUACACUAGACUCGAUGCCACUCGUUCGAUCAUUGUAGUAAGUUUUCUACUAGUUGACACGCCACUCGUCCACAUUUAGUGUUUCUACUACACUAGUUCAAUGCCACUCUACUGGGCUAUCAUAUGUCCAAGUUCAGCUCUUUAUGCCAUUAUAAGAUUUCCAUGUCACAUGACCCAGUCCUCAUGCUACCCUAGUUCGCGUGUUCGACUCAUAGUUACACUACUAAGAAGCAUGCAAGGGAAAGGAAAUAUACAUCUACUAAUCCUAUAAUGCAAUAUGAUCAACAUAUAUAUAACUUAGACAUAAAAGGAAACCCGGAUGCUUCGGGAUGACACCCCCCACCUUUUGUGUAUAAGGAGGCUCUAGAAAUGCGCUUCGACGUCCUUUACGACGAAGCCUCGGUGUUCUUGGUCCAAAUGAUGCUCAAUCGGCCUUAUUUGGCCGAUAGCUCUCGACCCGCUCGACGAAUCGAAAUUCUGACUUCGCCCCCGUGUUUCGUUACCUAGCAAUUAGGUUUACAAGGCCUCAAAUGAGAUCAAUCCUCUAUUUUCCCAAAAACCCCAUUUUUGGUGCCCUAGGGUUAGCAUCAAGCUAAACCCAUUUCAAAACCCUAGGUUCUAGCUUCAAUCCUACAAUUCAUGGUGCUAGGGAUCCAUUUGAUCCCAUCCAAAGAGCUAAAACCCAAAAACCCUAAAUUUUCCAAGCUAGGGUUAAAAGCUUACCUCUAGGUUGGCUUAAAAGAGAGAAGAGAGGAUGAGGGAGAAGUCCAAAAGCUUCCUCUUGUUGAUCUCCUUUUUCUUCUCCUUCCUUUUCUUCCUUCUUUUUCUUCUCCUUUCUUCUUCUCCUUCUUUUUCUCCUUCUUUUCUAGAGAGAGAAAGCAAGAGAGUAUGAGGGAGGGAGAGAGAGUGGACUGAGGGAGAGCGAGAGGGAGAGAGGGACUAAUAAGCCCUCUAAUGUAACAAUAUCCAGCUGGCCCCCUCUACUUUUCACCCUGUGCGCAGCCUUCACUGGGCGUUCUGCGCGCGGAGGGACCGGUCUCCCCGACUUGGGACCGGUCCCCGAGAGCUUCAGCUCGGGUCACGCGUUCGGGUACCGGUCUCUCCCAGAGAGACCGGUCCUCGGGAGACCGGUUCCUUCCUGAGAGACCGGUUCCCGAGAGUUAGGACUUCAGGACUUAGCCAAUUUUUGGCUUCUCAUGCUGGGAUCACGUUCGGGAACCGGUCCCUCACUAACAGGGACCGGUUGCCUCAAGCAACCCCGCAACACCAGCCGAUGGGACCGGUCCCUCCCUGCCAGGGAUCGGUCCCCGAGAGCAGUUUUGCUCCAGUGCAGAUCUCGCACUAGUUGCUCUUGUGGACUCGUUUCCAAUGCACUUUUGGUGAUUUUAAUAUCUUUGGCUUUUCCAAAGUACACCAACGCGACCCUUGGUCGACUCGGGAUGAAGUCAAAUCCUCGUAUUUCGAGAAUUCACUUCCUCACAUGGUGCUAUCCAAACUUGUUGGAAUUCCCUCUAUGCUUAAUGUGUCAUUUAAUUGAGCAUUUAUGUAUAUGUUGUUGCAUGCAUUGUAGGGUAAAAUGUGAUGAUAAUUAUGUAAAUGCUGCAUGAUGUGAGUACACGUGCAUUUCUAGUUGGUUGAGAACCUAUAACACCCUAUAUAUGCAUGAGAGGUAAUGUGAGAACUUAAUGAGAUAAAAGAACAAAGUAACACAAGAGCAUAGAUCGAGUGGCAUUCGAAAGUAUAUAGUCGACACUAGAGUUAGUGUGUGGCAUCAAAGAAUCAACGUGAUGAAAAGAACAAUGACAAUGGUUAAAGUUAAUGCAAAGUAUGGCAUAAAGAAUGAGUAAAGUUAAAGAACGAUGAUUGCUAGAGUUGGCAAAAUAAAGUGAUGUAAAGAACACUAAAGUUAGUGUAAAGACAAUGAUUGAACUAUAUAUCCUUAGAGUUAAGGAUCGAUCAUACUUGCUAUGAGUUCCGUGCUCGAGGGCGGUCGCUCCCCCUCGGGCGAUGCGCUCCGGAGUUUUGCAUCACGGGUUGGAGUAAACCCGAGGACUGUCUUAGUGGGAGGCAGCUGAGGGCCCAUGAUGAUGGACUUAAUGUGGGCAAGUUAAUGUGGCGAAACCCCUAAAUUAGCCGUGAGAUUAAAGAACAAGAACAAAGAGCAAAGAUUAAAGAAUAAAGAGUAAAGAAUAAAGAACUUGCAUACUUGCAUGAUUUAUAUUGAGCAUACUCUUGCUUUAUUGUUCAGGCAUAUUAGCAUCAUCAUUAUAGUUGGUUACUAUUCUGCUUAUCCUUUCUAUUAUGCCUGAGUUAGUCCUAGUGGGAAAGUCGGUGAGAUUGGGGCCGAACCUACUGGGAACUUUGUUGUAGUUCUCACCUCACUAUUCCACAGAGCCGGGACCGAGCGAGCCGGCGAGCGACCGCGGUAAAGAUAUCGCACCUUAGUCAGAGGCCACCAGAGUUGGGUUAUUUCACAUUUUGUUAGUAGCUACUCUAUGGUCAUCUUUUGUAUUUGAAGAUGUUUAAAACAAAGAAAGGAAAGAUUGUAAAGUUUAUUUGAGCAAAUAUGAUGUAAAAAAAAUGAUGCAAGUAAUGUAAAGAAUUAUGAAAAUGAGGUUAAAUGCAAUGUUUGUGAUCAAAAGUGAAUCAUAGUACUCAUAAUGUUUAGUUUCCUAUCUUUCACUCAUGGCUAUUGCUUACCCUCGUGUAAGCCAUUUGUGUAUGUUUCCGCUAGUGCACUUCUAUGUUGAAAUUGUACAGGUGAUGAGCUGCGGAUAGGGGAAACUCUGUCCAUUCGGCGUUUGUUUGACGUGCUCGGGUCGGCUCAAAUUGGUAUCGGUUCCGGGGCGUGACAAUAUAGGCCCUCUAGGGUUGAGUGAGUUAUUGGUUUAAUAGUAUAAUCUAACGGGAAAAAAUAGUCAAAAGGUUAAAUUUAAUAGUGGAAAACUUGAUAGCACCAAAUGUUUAGUGUUAUCGAUAGUAUCCUAGCCGGACUCUCUCUCUCUCUUUACUCUCACUCACUCUCUCUCUCUCUCUAUAUAUGAGUCCGGCUACUAUACUUUUAUGAGUAUUGGCUUCCUUAUACUCAUAAGUUUUCGGCCCUUAGAUUUAUUCCACUGAUCAUUUCCAUCCGUUAGAUCAUACUAUUCAACCAACUACCCACACAACCCUAGGGGACCACUAUCAUUUUAAGUGGGGACCACCAUCAUCCUAACCACACAUCCCAUCAAUCAACGGUUAAAAAUUUAUGAGUACAAGGGGGCCUAUACUCAUAAGAGUAUAGUAGCCCCAGCUAUAUANAUAUAUAUAUAUAUAUAUAUAUAUAUAUAUAUAUAGUAGGACUACUAUACUCUUAUGAGUAUAGAGUUCUUCGUACUCAUAAGUUGUUUUCGAUGUUGGGAUUUUCGAAUCGACGAUCCACACCGUUAAACAUGAUUUAGAGUAUUUAAAACUUCUAGAAAAUAAAUUUCGUAAUUUUUCGAAAUCAUUAUAAAGUCCAUCAAGCGGGUAUAAAAUGAAUGGUUGAAUUAAAUCGAACGGCAUCCUAAAAAUGGAUGAUCGGAUCCUUCAAUUUAAGAUCGGGGUUAUUGAUCUUUUAUUUAGGUAGUGAAUAGAAUUUUCUAUCAAAAAUUCAACCUAUUCCGAUUCUUUUUCACUGUUAAAUUAGCAACUAUCUCAUACCGGCCGUUAAAAAUUGUCAAUUUUGUAAGCUUUUGAUCAUAAGGUAAAUGAUAUCGAAAAGCUAUAAAAUUUAAUUUCUAGAAGUUUUAAAUACUCUAGAUAACGUUUAACGGUAUGGAUCGUCGAUUUGGAAACUCUAUUGUUAAAAACAACUUAUGAGUACGAAGGCGAUCGUACUCAUAAGAGUAUAAUAGCGCAAAGUUGAUGUUGUUGACAUUAACAACGAGGACAUGAUAUGCUACAAAUCAAUGUUUGAAUAUAUAAAUUAGUUUUUUUUUAUGCUUUGAUCCGGCAGAACAUCCAACUCAAUAGUAACUAAGAAAACUAGAAAAAGAGAAAUAAAAUUCAGAUAUGCAUCGAGUCUAGCGCAAACUCAACAAAAUCACAGCAUACAAUGAAAAUACUUAAAUGAAAUAUUAAGAGUUAGAAUAAAAAUAAUUGAUAAUAAGAAAAAAAUUAUAUUAUUUAAUUAUUAUUCUAUUUUGUAUUAUUUAAUAAAAACUAUAUUAAUAUAUUUUGC
RNAcentral lists this long non-coding RNA (17413 nucleotides) under Ananas comosus (pineapple). Its description in RNAcentral is "long non-coding RNA (ACOM_LNC008997)". The record is from RNAcentral. Lineage: Eukaryota; Viridiplantae; Streptophyta; Magnoliopsida; Poales; Bromeliaceae.